Molecule: ribosomal RNA, 627 nt
Filed under: uncultured bacterium
Lineage: Bacteria
Description: bacterial SSU rRNA
Rfam family: Bacterial small subunit ribosomal RNA
Source: RNAcentral
CGCGGCCUAUCAGCUUGUUGGUGGGGUAAUGGCCUACCAAGGCUUCGACGGGUAGCUGGUCUGAGAGGAUGUCCAGCCACACUGGGACUGAGACACGGCCCAGACUCCUACGGGAGGCAGCAGUAGGGAAUCUUGCGCAAUGGGCGAAAGCCUGACGUAGCGACGCCGCGUGCGGGAUGAAGGCCUUCGGGUUGUAAACCGCUUUCAGCAGGGACGAAAUUGACGGUACCUGCAGAAGAAGCCCCGACCAACUACGUGCCAGCAGCCGCGGUAAUACGUAGGGGGCAAGCGUUGUCCGGAUUUAUUGGGCGUAAAGAGCUCGUAGGCGGUUCGGUAAGUCGGAUGUGAAAUCUCCACGCUCAACGUGGAGGGGCCAUUCGAUACUGCCAUGACUUGAGUCCGGUAGGGGAGUGUGGAAUUUCCGGUGUAGCGGUGAAAUGCGCAGAGAUCGGAAGGAACACCCGUAGCGAAGGCGGCACUCUGGGCCGGUACUGACGCUGAGGAGCGAAAGCGUGGGGAGCGAACAGGAUUAGAUACCCUGGUAGUCCACGCCGUAAACGUUGGGCACUAGGUGUGGGACUCUAUCGACGGGUUCCGUGCCGUAGCUAACGCAUUAAGUGCCCCGCC